UACGAAGGGGCUAGCGUUGCUCGGAAUCACUGGGCGUAAAGGGUGCGUAGGCGGGUCUUUAAGUCAGGGGUGAAAUCCGUGGAGUCAACUCCAGAACUGCCUUUGAUACUGAAGAUCUUGAGUUCGGGAGAGGUGAGUGGAACUGCGAGUGUAGAGGUGAAAUUCGUAGAUAUUCGCAAGAACACCAGUGGCGAAGGCGGCUCACUGGCCCGGUACUGACGCUGAGGUGCGAAAGCGUGGGGAG
This 244-nucleotide ribosomal RNA is filed under the name uncultured bacterium. Its description in RNAcentral is "partial 16S ribosomal RNA". It matches the Rfam family "Bacterial small subunit ribosomal RNA", at positions 524 to 768 of the family's 1533-position model. The record is from RNAcentral.